This 2021-nucleotide long non-coding RNA is filed under the name Nicotiana tabacum (common tobacco). Its description in RNAcentral is "long non-coding RNA (NTAB_LNC008758)". The record is from RNAcentral. Lineage: Eukaryota; Viridiplantae; Streptophyta; Magnoliopsida; Solanales; Solanaceae.
UUCGUACCUGGUUUGGUUUCGUCUUCAAAGGUCGAUUGUGCUUGCUAUUUGAAGGUUGUAGCUUCUUCCAGUGCUGAAGAAGGGGGUAAUUCUGAUCUAUUGCUCAUAAAUAACUUUCUACUAGACUUCUAGUUAUUCUGAUAUUAGGAUGUUGCUUUUCUCGCAUGCAUCUAUUCUAAGGGACUUAUUAUUGUGUGUUGAAUGUUGAAUAUGACGGGAACCGAUAGUUCUACUCCUUCUAGUUCUACAUACUCCCCUGUCCCUUCUAGUCCUCUACACCUUCACUCCUCUGACAUUCCUGGCUCGUGUUUGGUGUCAGUUCUCUUCUCCACUAUACAUAUCGAUAUACAUAGAGAUUCACACUUGUUAGUUUCGAAUGAAGAAUGAAAAGUGCCCUACCAUCCAUCUCCAAAUAGUAAAUGCGCUGCUAAGUUCAGAUGUCUGCUCGUCUGAAACUGAAUUUAGUAGUCCGGAAUGGUCGUAGGGAGAGGAAUGCGGGAAAGUGGGGUCCUCUCACGUGUGCUUGGAGGUUAGAGGAUGAGUAUGGUAGUUUCUUUGUCUGCAAAAAAUAAGAUUGCAUUCAUUGAUGGAACUUAUCCUAAACCACCUGAUAAUUCUCCACAACUUCAACAAUAGAAUAGAUGUAAUAACAUGGUAAUAUCAUGGAUAACCGGUUCUCUAACCCCAACCAUUGUUGAGUUUGUACAAUACUCUGAAACUGCUGAAAGUAUAUGGAGACAGUUAGAAAGUAGAUAUGGUACUGUGAAUGGAACCAAAGGUUUUGAGCAUAAGAAGGAACUUGUCUUUACUUCUCAGGGUUCCUCAGAUAUAGUCUCAUACUUUAACAAACUUAAAAAACUAUAGGAUGAAUUAGAGAUGACGCGUAAAAAACAUUCAAAUUCUUGUGUUUGUCCUGCCAAGUCUGGUACUCAAAAGAAAGAGGAAGAAGAUAAAGUACACCAAUUCCUUAUGGGACUAAAUGAGAUAUAUGUGAGUGUAAGAAAUAAUCUCUUAAUAAUGAAUUCAUUGCCUUCUCUUGAUACUAUAUACAACAUUCUUCUCCAAGAUGAGAGGCAGAUACAAGUCACCUCCACAUCUCAGUUUAAUCCAGAGUCAUCAUCCUUUAAUGUGAAUUUCUCUAAUAAAUCUCAAGCUCAGUCAAUUUUAUUCAAAAGUCAUACAAUCAGACAUACAACCAGAGGGUUAGUUUUAAUCAGACAAAGGGUAAUCUCUUCUGCAAAUAUUGCAAGAAACCUGAACAUCUUAUUGACAAAUGCUAUAAACUUUAUAGUUUUCCGCCAAACUUCAAGUUCACUAAAGGCAAAAGGAUGGUGGCCAAUGCCUGUGUGGGUGAGAGUAAUGCUCCUAUGGGUGGAAUUCAGUAUGAGCAGGGUUCUUUGGUGCCUGGUCUUACAAAGGAGUAGUACUCACAACUGAUAACUUUGUUGCAUCUAACCCAUGUAUCUGAUUCUGGACAAUCUGGUCCUCAAUCCAACCUUGCAGUUUUUGCCAAUUUUGAUGAUACUUUGUUGCAUACUAAUGUAGUUGGUUCUUCUCUUUCUUGCAUGUUUUCACAUUCUUCUAGUUCUGUCUGGAUUGUGGACUCUGGUACCACAUAUCGUAUGACUGCUAGUAAAGACCUUCUUUUUUAUAUCAAUCCACUGAUUAUACCUCUACUUGUUUCACUUCCAAAUGGAUAUAAAGCAAAAGUAACUUUCAUUGGUUCUUUUGCACUAACAUCCUCUAUCACUGUUCACAAUGUACUUUUCAUUCCAUCUUUUCAUCAUAAUCUAAUUUUUGUGUCAAAGCUUAUAUAGCAAUUGCAUUGCAUUGUCCAGUUUGGUCCUUACUCUUGUGUGUUACAGGGCCCUUAUUUGAAAAUGCCUCUAGAACUUGGUGAACUGGAUAAUGGACUUUAUAAAUUGGUACAUGAUGAUGCACCUCAUCCUACUCAUGUUGAAGUCCAACCUACAAAUAACAAAGUUUGCAGCUUACCAUCUUUGUGUACCACUGUUUCUGAU